GGUUUGGUUCGCAGAGACAGAGGCUUGCCUUCAGUUCGUUUCCAACCAGCUGGUUGGGGGGCAGCCAUGGGAGAACAGUGUUCGUUGCUGGAGAUGCGUUGGAGGCCGUCGAUUUUCCUGCAACUCUUUCUGAUCAAUUGGAGUUGCUCCAGGAAAAACCCAUCCUAUCCAUCCAUCAAUGUCUCUCUUCUCUCGCACUCCAUGGCUAUUACUGCUGCUGUUGUGCUUUCUAGGGUUAGUAUUAGGAUUUGGGGACGCUUUCAAGGUCACCCUCAGGAUCAAGGAUGUGCUUCCGGUUCUGCCACGUCAGAUAUCGUGGCCGGUGCUCAACAAUUUCCACAGUGCUGUGGAUUUGUUGCCUUCUUUUAUCGGGUCGGUGACUCCCGACAAUACAUCAAUUGAAUGGGAAGGAGCUUGCUUUUCUGGUAACCAGGCUCGGCUCGAGUUCACCGAAGGCGAUCGGGACAAACCCAAUUUGGGAGGUGGCGUUCUCUAUCUCAAGCUAUUUGAUCUGGUCUGCUGGCUAUAAAUAUGAAUGAACAUGUAUGAGAUAGAGAAAGAGAGCGCAGCCUGAUGAUGUUGAUGAGAGCUAGAGAGAGAAAAACAGAGGAGAAUAGUAGGUUGCUAGAAGAGAACUAGGGCUUCCCAAACUCCUCGGAUCUGCGCCAUGGAGUUUGAAAGUGGAUGAGUGUUAAAAAGAGGCUCUACACAUUUGGAUGCGGAUUAGGGCUACAGUGAAAUGGCGAAACUGCCCUUGACUAAACAGUUUCUUUUGUUCCCGUUUUGCCCUUCCUCCUUCGUUCAGAUAGUUUCGUUCGUUGAGAGAGAGCUCUGCCUUCAGUUCGUUUGCAACCAGCUGGUUGGGGGGCAGCCAUGGAAGAGCUGUGUCCGUUGCACGAGAUGCGUUGGUGGCCGUCGAUUUUUGGUUGGGAGGUGAGCUGCAAAUCCAGCCACAGCUUUGGGAUCGGGAGAUUUCGUUUUUUCCACAUCCUUCGACUGAUGCUUCUAUCUUUCUUGCUUACGAGUAUUUGCAUCGUUGCUCCUCAGAUGCUGGGUUCGCUUCUAACCAGGUUGGUUGGCCUGGUUGCGGGGCAAUGAUGGAAGAGGUCGGUUUACUGUUGGAGAUUAUCUGGAGGCUUCGAUUUUUAUAGGAGUGGCGUGCAUUGGUCUUCUUCUUCAGAUCGAACUCCAGCUUUCUCUCUGUUUCAGUCUCUUUCUCUCACUGAUCUUUGCUAGGGACUGGAAUGGAUACGCAGGAUACAUCUCCUUCAGUGUUGCUAUUCUUUGACAAGGAAAGAUUUAUAUUUAAUGCUGGAGAGUAUGAAUCACAGUUAGGCAGUCAUCCAAUUGCUUCAGGUAUGACUUAUGAAAAUUAAAAAGUUAUUCAAAUCUACGUGUUGUAUUGAAACUUUGGAAUUUUAUCUCAACAGAUUCAAUUGUCUCUCACCUCUCUGACGUAUAAGCAAUCACUGAAGCAAAGAAGCGAAGAUAACUUUCAGGUGAGCUUGGGUACGAAAUCCAAAUACGAGAAGCAGUCGUUCGCCCAAAUUGUUUAACCAUUCUUCGCUUUAAAGAGUCAAGACCUCCAUCAAAGAGAAGAAAAGUCAUGAAGAAAUUGCAAAACAAAGCUCGCCCAAUUAGAUAACAUGGUGUACAAAACUAUCCAAAUUUUGCUAUUUUGAUGUCUACUUCCUACUAUAAACAUCUCAAUGUAUAUAAAAACAAGUGUAGUACUUUAACAUAACAAGUAGCCUGUAAAAUAUGUUUUUACAUGCUUUUUUCCAACAUACACUCCUUUAUAAUGUUAUAAAUUACAUCUCAUUAUAUA
Molecule: long non-coding RNA, 1828 nt
Organism: Prunus dulcis (almond)
Lineage: Eukaryota; Viridiplantae; Streptophyta; Magnoliopsida; Rosales; Rosaceae
Exons: 8
Source: RefSeq, a predicted model, not a curated record